UACAGAGGUCCCAAGCGUUGUUCGGAUUCAUUGGGCGUAAAGGGUGCGUAGGUGGCGCCGUAAGUGGGGUGUGAAAUUUCGGAGCUUAACUCCGAAACUGCAUUCCAUACUGCGGUGCUUGAGGACUGGAGAGGAGACUGGAAUUUACGGUGUAGCAGUGAAAUGCGUAGAGAUCGUAAGGAAGACCAGUGGCGAAGGCGGGUCUCUGGACCAGCACUGACACUGAGGCACGAAAGCGUGGGGAGCAAACAGG
RNAcentral lists this ribosomal RNA (253 nucleotides) under uncultured bacterium. Its description in RNAcentral is "partial 16S ribosomal RNA". It matches the Rfam family "Bacterial small subunit ribosomal RNA", at positions 524 to 776 of the family's 1533-position model. The record is from RNAcentral.